This 460-nucleotide ribosomal RNA is filed under the name uncultured bacterium. Its description in RNAcentral is "partial 16S ribosomal RNA". It matches the Rfam family "Bacterial small subunit ribosomal RNA", at positions 338 to 795 of the family's 1533-position model. The record is from RNAcentral.
CCUACGGGAGGCAGCAGUGAGGAAUAUUGGUCAAUGGGCGGGAGCCUGAACCAGCCAAGUCGCGUGAGGGAAGACGGUCCUAUGGAUUGUAAACCUCUUUAGGCGGGGAGCAAUGCCGGGCACGCGUGCCCGGAGGGAGAGUACCCGCAGAAUAAGCAUCGGCUAACUCCGUCCCAGCAGCCGCGGUAAUACGUAGGAUGCGAGCGUUAUCCGGAUUUAUUGGGUUUAAAGGGUGCGUAGGCGGAUUUUUAAGUCAGCGGUAAAAUGUCCGGGCUCAACCCGGGCCGGCCGUUGAAACUGGGGAUCUUGAGUGGGCGAGAAGUAUGCGGAAUGCGUGGUGUAGCGGUGAAAUGCAUAGAUAUCACGCAGAACUCCGAUUGCGAAGGCAGCAUACCGGCGCCCGACUGACGCUGAGGCACGAAAGCGUGGGGAUCGAACAGGAUUAGAUACCCCAGUAGUC